CCCAGACUCCUACGGGAGGCAGCAGUGGGGGAUAUUGCACAAUGGGGGGAACCCUGAUGCAGCGACGCCGCGUGGGUGAAGGAGCGUUUCGGCGCGUAAAGCCCUAUCGGCAGGGAAGAAGGAGGACGGUACCUGACUAAGAAGCCCCGGUUAACUACGUGCCAGCAGCCGCGGUAAUACGUAGGGGGCAAGCGUUAUCCGGAUUUACUGGGUGUAAAGGGGGCGCAGACGGCAGCGCAAGCCAGGAGUGAAAGCCCGGGGCCCAACCCCGGGACUGCUCUUGGAACUGCGCGGCUGGAGUGCAGGAGGGGCAGGCGGAAUUCCUGGUGUAGCGGUGAAAUGCGUAGAUAUCAGGAGGAACACCGGUGGCGAAGGCGGCCUGCUGGACUGCGACUGACGUUGAGGCCCGAAAGCGUGGGGAGCAAACAGGAUUAGAUACCCCCGUA
Molecule: ribosomal RNA, 446 nt
Filed under: uncultured bacterium
Lineage: Bacteria
Description: partial 16S ribosomal RNA
Rfam family: Bacterial small subunit ribosomal RNA
Source: RNAcentral